UGAGCGGAACAAAACCCAGGUUCUGUGCGUCUCCAUACGGCUGUGCUGCCCACCGGUCCUUUUUCUCAACUGGACGCUCCAACGAGAGGAAUGGAAAAGAAAGAUUCAAUUAAGGACUCUAUAGCAUUGGGUUAAGCCUGUUCAAGUUCAGCAUACUACGCAGUAGCUGGUUUUUCUCAUACAAAUCAGAGUGCUGUGAGACUCUUCUGGUACAUAUCUGCCUUGUCGACUACUCACAUGUAUCCAUCAACGCAGGGUCCAAAGCAUCAUAUGAGCGAUCCACAGCAGCACGGAAGCUCUCGUUGCAAGCUCUGGCUCUUCCGAAGCGGUUGGUCCUCCACAUAGGUGAAUUAUCCCGACUUUGCUGUUAGAAGUAAGAACACAGCAUGGUAAAAGCAUUUCAUUCCCUGUAAUACAUGUAUCUCUUCAGUUCUGCAACACAACUAGGUUACUUAAGUGCCAAACCAUGUGUCUCUAGUGAAUAUUUUAAAAUGUAAACUCUGCAUUCCAAGUCACAUUGCAUCCAGGAGGUUAAUGACCAACAACUUUAAAUAAAAUAUACUAAGACAUUAAGACCUGAAA
Molecule: long non-coding RNA, 582 nt
Organism: Aplysia californica (California sea hare)
Lineage: Eukaryota; Metazoa; Mollusca; Gastropoda; Aplysiida; Aplysiidae
Exons: 2
Source: RefSeq, a predicted model, not a curated record